CGCGCGCCCGCGGGCGGGGCGGGGAUUCCGGCGCCCGGAGCUCAGCUAGGCAAAUAGAACAGCCCCUAUCUGGAACAUUGCUGGAUCUAGUGGCAGAAGGAAAAUGGAGAAUGUGGCAAACCAUUGCUGACUCUGGACAUUUCUGCCUGAGAUUGACACACAUCAGUCUUGCCAAUAUUUCACCAGCCGAAAAGAGGUGGUAUAUUUCCUCACUGCCACUGCCCUCCUGUUCUCUUUGUGAACAACGACAAGCAUUUUCCAAGAUGUCUUGCCAGUCUGCAGAUCACCUGUGAUUGAUGACCUUUAUUUUGAUGCGUCAUCUUUUAUGACCACUGAGAUAUGGUCAUAUUUGAUCAACUUUGAUCAACGAGGUAA
Molecule: long non-coding RNA, 375 nt
Organism: Odocoileus virginianus texanus
Lineage: Eukaryota; Metazoa; Chordata; Mammalia; Artiodactyla; Cervidae
Source: RefSeq, a predicted model, not a curated record